Molecule: ribosomal RNA, 919 nt
Filed under: Patescibacteria group bacterium
Lineage: Bacteria
Description: bacterial SSU rRNA
Rfam family: Bacterial small subunit ribosomal RNA
Source: RNAcentral
UAUAUUCAGAGUUUGAUCCUAGCUCAGGGUGAACGCUGGCGGCGUGGAUGAGGCAUGCAAGUCGAGCGCCCCCAAUCUAGAAAUAGGUAGGGGGAGCGGCAGACGAGGUAGUAAUACGCAGGUACGCACCGAGAAGUCGGGCAUAGCUACUCGAAAGAGUAGGUAAUUCCCGAUAGUCCCUCCGGGGUAAAGGAGCAAUCCGCUUUUUGAGCGGCCUGUGUCGCAUCAGCUUGUUGGUAGGGUAACGGCCUACCAAGGCUAUGACGCGUAGGGGAGCUGAGAGGCUGACCCCCACCGAUGGAACUGAGACACGGUCCAUACACCUACGGGUGGCUGCAGCCGAGAAUAUUCCGCAAUGGACGAAAGUCUGACGGAGCGACGCCGCGUGAUGGAUGAAGUCCUUAGGGACGUAAACAUCUUUUAUGCGUGAAGAAGUUAUUGACAUUAGCGCAUGAAUAAGGGGCUCCUAACUCUGUGCCAGCAGGAGCGGUAAUACAGAGGCCCCAAGCGUUACCCGGAAUCACUGGGCGUAAAGGGUGUGUAGGCGGCGCUGUUAGUCUUUCGUGAAAGCUUUCGGGCUUAACCCGGAAAACGCGGAGGAAACGGCAGUGCUCGAGGAUGUGAGAGGUAGAGGGAACUCAUGGUGUAGGGGUGAAAUCCGUUGAUAUCAUGGGGAACACCAAAUGCGAAGGCACUCUACUGGCACAUUUCUGACGCUGAGACACGAAAGCGUGGGUAGCGAACGGGAUUAGAUACCCCGGUAGUCCACGCCCUAAACGAUCACAACUGGCUUUAAGGAGUAUCGACCCUCUUUGAGGCGAAGCUAACGCGUUAAGUGAUGCGCCUGGGUAGUACGAUCGCAAGAUUAAAACUCAAAGGAAUAGACGGGGACUUGCACAAGCGGUGGAUCAUGCGGCUC